GUCCACGCCGUAAACGAUGAUAACUAGCUGUCCGGGCACUUGGUGCUUGGGUGGCGCAGCUAACGCAUUAAGUUAUCCGCCUGGGGAGUACGGCCGCAAGGUUAAAACUCAAAGAAAUUGACGGGGGCCUGCACAAGCGGUGGAGCAUGUGGUUUAAUUCGAAGCAACGCGCAGAACCUUACCAACGUUUGACAUCCCCAGUAUGGAUAUUGGAGACAGUAUCCUUCAGUUCGGCUGGCUGGGUGACAGGUGCUGCAUGGCUGUCGU
RNAcentral lists this ribosomal RNA (267 nucleotides) under uncultured bacterium. RNAcentral's name for it is "partial 16S ribosomal RNA". It matches the Rfam family "Bacterial small subunit ribosomal RNA", at positions 793 to 1055 of the family's 1533-position model. The record is from RNAcentral.